GAACGCUGGCGGCAGGCUUAACACAUGCAAGUCGAGCGGGGGAAGGUAGCUUGCUACCGGACCUAGCGGCGGACGGGUGAGUAAUGCUUAGGAAUCUGCCUAUUAGUGGGGGACAACAUCUCGAAAGGGAUGCUAAUACCGCAUACGUCCUACGGGAGAAAGCAGGGGAUCUUCGGACCUUGCGCUAAUAGAUGAGCCUAAGUCGGAUUAGCUAGUUGGUGGGGUAAAGGCCUACCAAGGCGACGAUCUGUAGCGGGUCUGAGAGGAUGAUCCGCCACACUGGGACUGAGACACGGCCCAGACUCCUACGGGAGGCAGCAGUGGGGAAUAUUGGACAAUGGGGGGAACCCUGAUCCAGCCAUGCCGCGUGUGUGAAGAAGGCCUUAUGGUUGUAAAGCACUUUAAGCGAGGAGGAGGCUACUUUAGUUAAUACCUAGAGAUAGUGGACGUUACUCGCAGAAUAAGCACCGGCUAACUCUGUGCCAGCAGCCGCGGUAAUACAGAGGGUGCGAGCGUUAAUCGGAUUUACUGGGCGUAAAGCGUGCGUAGGCGGCUUAUUAAGUCGGAUGUGAAAUCCCCGAGCUUAACUUG
RNAcentral lists this ribosomal RNA (591 nucleotides) under Acinetobacter baumannii OIFC137. RNAcentral describes it as "bacterial SSU rRNA". It matches the Rfam family "Bacterial small subunit ribosomal RNA", at positions 31 to 616 of the family's 1533-position model. Lineage: Bacteria; Pseudomonadati; Pseudomonadota; Gammaproteobacteria; Moraxellales; Moraxellaceae. The record is from RNAcentral.